This is a long non-coding RNA of Cyprinus carpio (common carp), 2157 nucleotides long. RefSeq lists it as uncharacterized. The transcript is spliced from 3 exons. Lineage: Eukaryota; Metazoa; Chordata; Actinopteri; Cypriniformes; Cyprinidae. The record is from RefSeq and is a predicted model, not a curated record.
GCAAUCUUUUAUAACAUUGUAAAUGUCCUUACUGUCACAUUUGAUCAGUUUAAUACAUCUUUGUUUUGUUUUUGUUUUUAAACCUGCCCAAGACUUUUGAAUGGCAGUGUAAUACUGUCAAGUGAUUGGUUAUCACCAUAUUGCGUCAGCCAGAAUUUUAAUACCAAUGAAUCUUAUUAUCAUAUUUACUUGAUUGAACAGAUUGCUGUCUGAUUGGUGACAUUGCAUUUAGAUUUUCGACAAAAAUGUCUCUGUAUAAUGAAUAUAAUAUCCAGUCACAUUCUCUCUGCAAAUAUGAGUGUUCCCUACAUAAUGCUGCCAGUACUGAGCAAUAAAAUGUUUUUGUCACCUUGUAGAAUUAAAAGCUUUGUCUCCAUACAUGCAGCUUCCAUUCAAACUUCAGUCAGUGUCAGAUCAGUGAAAAUGCAUGAAAUGACCAAGUGUAAAUACCCAGGCCUCUGUGCUGGGAUACAUGUUAUGCAGUGCUGAUUGUUGCUGGAUUUGAGGACAAUGAAGUAUGAAGCAAUCUGUUCUUCACCAUGGUCCAUCUGUGUGUUAUGUGGGGUACCAGUGAGUGCUCUCGCUCAGGGAUUGAACAUUCAGACCCCGGCAGAUUGCAUCAGUCUGUGGGGGUCAUCCUGACAUAAUCGCUAAUAAACCACCACAUGCACUCUUCGUUGACAACAUGACCCUAUAGUUUGUGUAAGGCUCUUUAAUGCAGGUAUUUUGCUGUAUUUCAGAUGAGUAUAAGAGGGAGGAACUCCCUGAGGAGGAUGUGCUGCGGAUUCUGUCAUGUGUUAAGUGGCUGUCAUCAUCUACUCUCCCUAGAAACAAGCAUCUUCAUAAAGCUCUGAGAACUGCAGCAUCCGUCUUCACUGAGGACACCCUGUUCUAUCUCUGUUUGCUGUUCUUCACUUUCUCUUUUUCAACAGUGGUGCUUGCGAGAGUGCAGACUGGGUUAGGGGUGUGAAUGAACCUAUGUCCCUAAAUUUUAUACUUAAACAUGCUAUUCAUACUUAAUAGCUUGUGCUACAGACAUGAAUAUUGCCUCAAAUUAUGCGGCUUAACAGGCAGAGGUGUUCAAAGAGAUCUGACUCAUUUGGUGCUCAGAAAUAAAACUUGCAUUAAAACCCACAGUUUUACACUGAUGAAGAGAUCCAAGCCUUAUCUAGAGACUUAACUUAAGCCAGUGAGAAACCACACCCUAGCAACAGCAUAGCAAUAUCCUAAAAAUGCUCUGAAUGCUGUAGAAAUUGGGUAUGUCCUGACAACCUCCCAGACUGACAAGCAAAAAAUGUCAAUAUCUGUUCUUUUUUUAAUUCUUAAAGUUGUAUUAUUUGUAUACUUUAUAUUAUUUGUGGCAAGUAUUCCAAGAUCAUUUUCCUUAUUGCAUCUUAUUGCCUUGAUCUCUUUCUCUCCUCCCUUUUUUCUAAUAAUUGCAGUCUUUAGGAAAGUACCUGCGUCCUUCAGUUUGUGCUGUUUUCUCCAUCUGGCUCCACAGUCUCGCUCUACUCUCUCCUUAUGCUGGCUGCUGGCUAUGUUUGGAUGCUGUCAUCUCCAAAAGAUGGCGAGACGAGAAGAAAAGUCAACCUCCUGGGCUGUCUCUAAGACCUAUCGUGGGAAGAACCUCUGCAGCAAUCCAACAUACCACCCUGCCUAAAAAUGUCCCCAAGCAGACAGGAAGGAAGUCAUUUUUGAGUGGCAACACGCAAAGGAAAUCCACUUGAUAAAAGACGGCCGCAAAACAGAAACUGGCAGAUUUUUUGCGACAGAAGUACGUCACAGCCACCAUCACACUAGCCUGUCAGACCUCCGGAGUGAAAUUAUCAAGUAACUGUUGAUGCAUGACUUGGUCCCACUUUCCUGGAUUUGACAGGCCAGGCCUGGAUUUGAAUGUCCACACACUUCCUGUGAAGACGUAACCGAGCUACUAUCUUAGAGGUAAAACAGAAGAUCAUUGUACUCCCAGAAAUGCAACCGAGUCAUGUGAACUGACCCUAAAAUGAAACAUCACAAAACAUGUGGCAGAAUUAUAACCACACUGCCCAGCUGUCUGUCAGCAGGUAGGGCGUUUUGAGCGGAUGGAAGCUGCUUACACUGCGAUUUGAGUGAACUUGACCUCUGAUCUUUGAGAAAAGUCAAAUAGUUUAUUAAAGU